This 76-nucleotide transfer RNA is filed under the name Betaproteobacteria bacterium. Its description in RNAcentral is "tRNA-Lys". It matches the Rfam family "tRNA". Rfam says of the family: Transfer RNA (tRNA) molecules are approximately 80 nucleotides in length. Their secondary structure includes four short double-helical elements and three loops (D, anti-codon, and T loops). Lineage: Bacteria; Pseudomonadati; Pseudomonadota; Betaproteobacteria. The record is from RNAcentral.
AGGUCACUAGCUCAACUGGUAGAGCAGCGGACUCUUAAUCCGUCGGUUCGGGGUUCGAGUCCCCGGUGGCCUACCA